GGGAUCAAGCAGGAGCCAGAGAGUCUAGACAGAAGCAGUAGGUUAGGAGCACACUGAGGGUCAAAGCCAAGGAAUCACCAGUAGUCAGAGUGUCAGACAGGGAGCCAGAGAUCAGGAACAAGCCAAAGGUCAAGCCAGUUAACUCCCAAUUGUGGGCAUCUGCAUGUUUGUGCUGAUUGUGAGCCUUUUAUUCCAGCCGGAAACUGCAGAAAGUUGAAGGUCAAUUUCAAAUUCAUAAAUAGAGUCUUGAUGUUGUUGCUAAUUUGUUUUAUGUAUAAAUUAGUUAUUUACUGGUAUACAGUUCUGGGGGAUCUCAUUUCCCCCACAGAUGUCUCCCUGCCGCAAGUGGAAAGGAUUGAUACCAUAUCCAGUGUGGACACAAUCCCCGCCUUCCCUUUGGCGCCAACAACCAGCAGAAGAAAGGACAGGAAAAGCUCAGACAUGGAAGGAACAGAAGAGAGCAGAGUUGCUGUUACUGCUGCUGUUGUCUGUGUCUAGGAUAGACAAAUGAACAUGAGGGAAGAAAAGGGGUAGAGGAUAAUUACUUUCAUCCCAGUUUUAUUUUUAUUCCCACAAAUCCCAACCGCUUUUGAAGCCAAUUUUCCUUUAAUAAAAUACACUUUUAAUGA
This is a long non-coding RNA of Hemicordylus capensis (graceful crag lizard), 629 nucleotides long. RefSeq lists it as uncharacterized. Lineage: Eukaryota; Metazoa; Chordata; Lepidosauria; Squamata; Cordylidae. The transcript is spliced from 2 exons. The record is from RefSeq and is a predicted model, not a curated record.